AUUUCGUGAUGAGGGCAUUAUUGUAACAGUUCUUUAAAUCUUUCCGGCACUUCUUACAAGGACUCGUCUUCCAUCUAUUAGAAGGUAGUGAUUUCAUUCUACAACU
Molecule: small nucleolar RNA, 106 nt
Filed under: Gossypium barbadense (sea-island cotton)
Lineage: Eukaryota; Viridiplantae; Streptophyta; Magnoliopsida; Malvales; Malvaceae
Also listed under: 1 other name
Description: Plant small nucleolar RNA R71
Rfam family: Plant small nucleolar RNA R71
About the family: R71 is a member of the C/D box family of snoRNAs containing the C (UGAUGA) and D (CUGA) box motifs. Multiple nearly identical copies of this snoRNA have been identified in Arabidopsis, and it is thought to function as a 2'-O-ribose methylation guide for 18S ribosomal RNA.
Source: Rfam by way of RNAcentral